AUACGGAGGAUCCGAGCGUUAUCCGGAUUUAUUGGGUUUAAAGGGUGCGUAGGUGGUAGAUUAAGUCAGCGGUGAAAGUUUGGGGCUCAACCUUAAAAUUGCAGUUGAUACUGGUUUCCUUGAGUACGGUACAGGUGGGCGGAAUUCGUGGUGUAGCGGUGAAAUGCUUAGAUAUCACGAAGAACUCCGAUCGCGAAGGCAGCUCACCGGGCCGGAACUGACACUGAUGCUCGAAAGUGCGGGUAUCAAACAGGAUUAGAUACCCUGGUAGUCCGCACAGUAAACGAUGAAUACUCGCUGUUUGCGAUACACUGUAAGCGGCCAAGCGAAAGCGUUAAGUAUUCCACCUGGGGAGUACGCCGGCAACGGUGAAACUUAAAGGAAUUGACGGGG
This 393-nucleotide ribosomal RNA is filed under the name uncultured bacterium. RNAcentral describes it as "partial 16S ribosomal RNA". It matches the Rfam family "Bacterial small subunit ribosomal RNA", at positions 523 to 918 of the family's 1533-position model. The record is from RNAcentral.